This 508-nucleotide small RNA is filed under the name Histoplasma capsulatum. Its description in RNAcentral is "hypothetical RNA". The record is from RNAcentral. Lineage: Eukaryota; Fungi; Ascomycota; Eurotiomycetes; Onygenales; Ajellomycetaceae. RNAcentral also lists the same sequence under 1 other name.
GGAGUGCUAGCAAAUACUUUCCCGUGGAUAUCCACCCAUCGAUCUUUAUUUCGGAAUCAUGCAUAUGAACUCUCUUCGAAGUAGAGUCUCCCCAUUACCCUCUCCGUUUUUUUAUAUCUAAGCAAUGAGCAUCGGGGUUUACGCUAGCCCUGAGCCGGUUGGGCGGUAUGGAUAUCUGCUCUCUGGAUCUAAACGUAAUCGUAGGAAGUGGGGGAGACGACGAGAAAGCGAAUAAAUCAUGAAUGAACAGACAUUCGGUAUUUUUUCUUCUAUGGGGAAAUGAAAAUAAUAAAAAUAAAAAUAAAUUAAACAAAAAGUCUUGAACAACGACAAGGUAAGAAAGAAAGAAAGAAAUCACCAUUCUCACAUAGCAUAUUGUAUAGUAUACAGGCAUACAGUAACCACCAUCACCUCAAAAACCAAAACAAACAAACAAAGGAGUUCUACAAACAUUACAUCUAACUAAAACUUCUUCCUCCCCUUCAUACCCAACGCCUUUAUAUUCGCC